UAGGGAAUCUUCCACAAUGGACGCAAGUCCGAUGGAGCAACGCCGCGUGAGUGAAGAAGGUUUUCGGACCGUAAAGCUCUGUUGUUGGUGAAGAAGGAUAGAGGUAGUAACUGGCCUUUAUUUGACGGUAAUCAACCAGAAAGUCACGGCUAACUACGUGCCAGCAGCCGCGGUAAUACGUAGGUGGCAAGCGUUGUCCGGAUUUAUUGGGCGUAAAGCGAGCGCAGGCGGAAGAAUAAGUCUGAUGUGAAAGCCCUCGGCUUAACCGAGGAAUUGCAUCGGAAACUGUUUUUCUUGAGUGCAGAAGAGGAGAGUAGAACUCCAUGUGUAGCGGUGGAAUGCGUAGAUAUAUGGAAGAAUACCAGUGGCGAAGGCGGCUCUCUGGUCUGCAACUGACGCUGAGGCUCGAAAGCAUGGGUAGCGAACAGGAUUAGAUACCCUGGUAGUCCAUGCCGUAAACGAUGAGUGCUAAGUGUUGGGAGGCUUCCGCCUCUCAGUGCUGCAGCUAACGCAUUAAGCACUCCGCCUGGGGGAGUACGACCGCAAGGUUGAA
RNAcentral lists this ribosomal RNA (553 nucleotides) under uncultured bacterium. Its description in RNAcentral is "partial 16S ribosomal RNA". It matches the Rfam family "Bacterial small subunit ribosomal RNA", at positions 355 to 898 of the family's 1533-position model. The record is from RNAcentral.